GACCAGGUGGUGGAACCGGCAGACACGCGGCGCUCAGAACGCCGUGCCUUCGGGCGUGGGAGUUCGACUCUCCCCUUGGUCA
RNAcentral lists this transfer RNA (82 nucleotides) under Planctomycetota bacterium. RNAcentral's name for it is "Planctomycetes bacterium tRNA-Leu". It matches the Rfam family "tRNA". Rfam says of the family: Transfer RNA (tRNA) molecules are approximately 80 nucleotides in length. Their secondary structure includes four short double-helical elements and three loops (D, anti-codon, and T loops). Lineage: Bacteria; Pseudomonadati; Planctomycetota. The record is from RNAcentral. RNAcentral also lists the same sequence under 1 other name.